CCAAACAAUCAAGUAUAAGAGGUCCAGCCUGCCCAGUGACUAAAUGUUCAACGGCCGCGGUAUUCUGACCGUGCAAAGGUAGCGUAAUCACUUGUCUUUUAAAUAAAGACUGGUAUGAAUGGCACCACGAGGGUUCCACUGUCUCAUGCGUCCUAUCAGUGAAACUAACCUCCCCGUGCAGAGGCGGGGAUAUCAACAUAAGACGAGAAGACCCUAUGGAGCUUAAAACCUUGGACAAUUGUUCAAUAUUAAACAAUCAACAGACAUACCUAAAAAACAAACAACCCUGAUCCAAUGGUUUUCGGUUGGGGCGACCACGGAGAAUAAAACAUCCUCCACGAAGAACGGAUUAACAAACCUUAAACAAGAGUCACCACUCAAAGCAAUAAAAUAUUUAACUUAAAUUGACCCAGCAUAGCUGAUCAACGAACCAAGUUACCCUAGGGAUAACAGCGCUAUCCACUUCAAAAGUUCAUAUUGACAAGUGGGUUUACGACCUCGAUGUUGGAUCAGGGCAUCCAGGUGGUGCAGCCGCUACCAAAGGUUCGUUUGUUCAACGAUUAAAGCCCUACGUGAUCUGAGUUCAGACCGGAGAAAUCCAGGUCAGUUUCUAUCUAUGUGGAACUCCCACCAGUACGAAAGGACCGAGGGAGUGCGGUCAAUAAACAAUCACACCGCAACCUUAAAUCAAUGAACACCCUCAAUUGAAUUAAGACCCAUCAAAUAAGCCUAAAAACAAGGCC
This 743-nucleotide ribosomal RNA is filed under the name Hymenochirus boettgeri (Congo dwarf clawed frog). RNAcentral's name for it is "partial 16S ribosomal RNA". It matches the Rfam family "Bacterial large subunit ribosomal RNA", at positions 1826 to 2829 of the family's 2925-position model. Lineage: Eukaryota; Metazoa; Chordata; Amphibia; Anura; Pipidae. The record is from RNAcentral.